GUUUGAUCAUGGCUCAGAAUGAACGCUGGCGGCAUGCUAACACAUGCAAGUCGAACGAAGCCUUCGGGCUUAGUGGCGCACGGGUGGCUAACGCGUGGGAAUCUACCCUUCGGUUCGGAAUAACAGUUAGAAAUGACUGCUAAUACCGGAUGAUGACGUAAGUCCAAAGAUUUAUCGCCCAGGGAUGAGCCCGCGUAGGAUUAGCUAGUUGGUGAGGUAAAAGCUCACCAAGGCGACGAUCCUUAGCUGGUCUGAGAGGAUGAUCAGCCACACUGGGACUGAGACACGGCCCAGACUCCUACGGGAGGCAGCAGUGGGGAAUAUUGGACAAUGGGCGAAACUGAUCCAGCAAUGCCGCGUGAGUGAUGAAGGCCUUAGGGUUGUAAAGCUCUUUUACCCGGGAUGAUAAUGACAGUACCGGGAGAAUAAGCUCCGGCUAACUCCGUGCCAGCAGCCGCGGUAAUACGGAGGGAGCUAGCGUUAUUCGGAAUUACUGGGCGUAAAGCGCACGUAGGCGGCUUUGUAAGUUAGAGGUGAAAGCCUGGAGCUCAACUCCAGAACUGCCUUUAAGACUGCAUCGCUUGAAUCCUGGAGAGGUGAGUGGAAUUCCGAGUGUAGAGGUGAAAUUCGUAGAUAUUCGGAAGACACCAGUUGGCGAAGCGGCUCACUUGGACAGGUAUUUGACGCUGAGGUGCGAAACGUGGGGGGAGCAAACAGGAUUAGAUACCCUGGUAGUCCACGCCGUUAAACGAUGAUAACUAGCUGUCGGGACACUUGGUGUCUGGGU
This 787-nucleotide ribosomal RNA is filed under the name uncultured bacterium. RNAcentral's name for it is "bacterial SSU rRNA". It matches the Rfam family "Bacterial small subunit ribosomal RNA", at positions 11 to 844 of the family's 1533-position model. The record is from RNAcentral.